Molecule: non-coding RNA, 204 nt
Organism: Paramuricea clavata
Lineage: Eukaryota; Metazoa; Cnidaria; Anthozoa; Malacalcyonacea; Plexauridae
Source: the annotation of a GenBank genome assembly
CAGGGUUUCGAAAUUGCUCUGGUUAUCCACUUCUUACGGAAAUCACAACUGAAAAAUAUCGCUCAAGAAUCGGGACAGGGGGUAUCAUAUUUUGGUCUGUGGGAUUAUCGAUAGUGCCUCUGAUUGGAUACUUAGUUCCUGCGUGGAGAAUGUUCUUGCUUGUGACAGCUACUGUCGGAAUUCCUGUUCUCUUUUUCUGGUGGU